GACGAACGCUGGCGGCGUGCUUAACACAUGCAAGUCGAACGGACCCUUUGGGGUUAGUGGCGAACGGGUGAGUAACACGUGGGUGAUCUGCCCUGCACUUUGGGAUAAGCCUGGGAAACUGGGUCUAAUACCGGAUAGGACUACGCACUGCAUGGUGUGUGGUGGAAAGCUUUUGCGGUGUGGGAUGGGCCCGCGGCCUAUCAGCUUGUUGGUGGGGUGAUGGCCUACCAAGGCGACGACGGGUAGCCGGCCUGAGAGGGUGACCGGCCACACUGGGACUGAGAUACGGCCCAGACUCCUACGGGAGGCAGCAGUGGGGAAUAUUGCACAAUGGGCGCAAGCCUGAUGCAGCGACGCCGCGUGAGGGAUGACGGCCUUCGGGUUGUAAACCUCUUUCGCCAGGGACGAAGCGCAAGUGACGGUACCUGGAGAAGAAGGACCGGCCAACUACGUGCCAGCAGCCGCGGUAAUACGUAGGGUCCGAGCGUUGUCCGGAAUUACUGGGCGUAAAGAGCUCGUAGGUGGUUUGUCGCGUUGUUCGUGAAAACUCACAGCUUAACUGUGGGCGUGCGGGCGAUACGGGCAGACUGGAGUACUGCAGGGGAGACUGGAAUUCCUGGUGUAGCGGUGGAAUGCGCAGAUAUCAGGAGGAACACCGGUGGCGAAGGCGGGUCUCUGGGCAGUAACUGACGCUGAGGAGCGAAAGCGUGGGGAGCGAACAGGAUUAGAUACCCUGGUAGUCCACGCCGUAAACGGUGGGUACUAGGUGUGGGUUUCCUUCCUUGGGAUCCGUGCCGUAGCUAACGCAUUAAGUACCCCGCCUGGGGAGUACGGCCGCAAGGCUAAAACUCAAAGGAAUUGACGGGGGCCCGCACAAGCGGCGGAGCAUGUGGAUUAAUUCGAUGCAACGCGAAGAACCUUACCUGGGUUUGACAUGCACAGGACGCCGGCAGAGAUGUCGGUUCCCUUGUGGCCUGUGUGCAGGUGGUGCAUGGCUGUCGUCAGCUCGUGUCGUGAGAUGUUGGGUUAAGUCCCGCAACGAGCGCAACCCUUGUCUCAUGUUGCCAGCACGUUAUGGUGGGGACUCGUGAGAGACUGCCGGGGUCAACUCGGAGGAAGGUGGGGAUGACGUCAAGUCAUCAUGCCCCUUAUGUCCAGGGCUUCACACAUACUACAAUGGCCGGUACAAAGGGCUGCGAUGCCGUGAGGUGGAGCGAAUCCUUUCAAAGCCGGUCUCAGUUCGGAUCGGGGUCUGCAACUCGACCCCGUGAAGUCGGAGUCGCUAGUAAUCGCAGAUCAGCAACGCUGCGGUGAAUACGUUCCCGGGCCU
Molecule: ribosomal RNA, 1330 nt
Filed under: uncultured bacterium
Lineage: Bacteria
Description: bacterial SSU rRNA
Rfam family: Bacterial small subunit ribosomal RNA
Source: RNAcentral